Long non-coding RNA from Sinocyclocheilus grahami, 189 nucleotides. RefSeq lists it as uncharacterized. The transcript has 3 exons. Lineage: Eukaryota; Metazoa; Chordata; Actinopteri; Cypriniformes; Cyprinidae. The record is from RefSeq and is a predicted model, not a curated record.
UGAAUCUUCCCCAGAGUAUGAGCUGUAUGCCAUCAUUAAUCACCACGGCUCAUUCAUUGGUGGUCAUUACGUCACACUCAUUAAAGAUCUGAGUGGAAACUGGUAUCAUUUUAAUGAUCACAUAGUCACACCGAUUCCUAAAACAGACUGUCAGUGGAUCAGGGACUGCUCUAAUUCUGCAUAUUUGUU